Molecule: ribosomal RNA, 421 nt
Filed under: uncultured bacterium
Lineage: Bacteria
Description: bacterial SSU rRNA
Rfam family: Bacterial small subunit ribosomal RNA
Source: RNAcentral
GGCAUAUACUUAGUGGCGGACGGGUGAGGUAACGCGUGGGCAACCUAGCCUUAUACCGGGGGACAACAGCUGGAAACGGCUGCUAAUACCGCAUAAGCGCACGAAGAGGCAUCGUCUUAGGUGUGAAAAACUCCGGUGGUAUAAGAUGGACCCGCGUCUGAUUAGCCAGUUGGCGGUGUAACGGACCACCAAAGCGACGAUCAGUAGCCGGCCUGAGAGGGCAAACGGCCACAUUGGGACUGAGACACGGCCCAAACUCCUACGGGAGGCAGCAGUGGGGAAUAUUGCACAAUGGGGGAAACCCUGAUGCAGCGACGCCGCGUGAGUGAAGAAGUAUUUCGGUAUGUAAAGCUCUAUCAGCAGGAAAGAAAAUGACGGUACCUGACUAAGAAGCCCCGGCUAACUACGUGCCAGCCGCCGC